Molecule: microRNA, 23 nt
Filed under: Pristionchus pacificus
Lineage: Eukaryota; Metazoa; Nematoda; Chromadorea; Rhabditida; Neodiplogasteridae
Description: ppc-miR-8272-3p
Source: miRBase by way of RNAcentral
UAGUAGCAAAUCUAACAGGCGCA